GUGUUGCUUAGCAGUUGCAAAAGUGUUCUUAAUGGAUCCUAGAGUGUUGAUAAGUGGUUGCUAUUGUGUUCAUGGAGGUUUCUAGGUAGUUGCUAGGGUUGUUGCUAAGGUGUUGCCAGGGAGUUGCUAGGGCAGUUGGUAUGGUGGAAGUUAAGAUGUUGUAAAUGGUUGCUAGGCUAUUGCUAAGGUAUUCUAAGUGGUUGCUAAGGUGUUGCCAGGCAGUUGCUAUGGUGGUUGCUAAGGUGUUGCUUAGCAGUUGCAAAAGUGUUCUAAAUGGAUCCUAGAGUUUUGAUAAGUGGUUGCUAUUGUGUUCAUGGAGGUUUCUAGGUAGUUGCUAGGGUUGUUGCUAAGGUGUUGCCAGGCAGUUGCUAUGGUGGUUGCUAAGGUGUUGCUUAGCAGUAGCAAAAGUGUUCUAAAUGGAUCAUAGAGUGUUGAUAAGUGGUUGCUAUGGUGUCCAGGGAGGUUGCUAAACGGUUGCUAGGCAGAUUAUGUAAAUAAGCCCUGUGGAGUUUGAAAGUUUUUACUUGCCUUUCUAGAUAGUUUGCUAAGGUGGUUGCUAGGGUGUUGCUAAACAGUUACUAAUAUGUUCUGCAUGGUUCUAAGAGCCCUGUGGAAUUUGAAAACUUGUCUUUCUGGGCCACUGCUAAGGUAUUUUAUGUGGUUGCUAGGCAGUUGAUAGGGUUUUUGCUAAGGUGUCUCCAGGCAGUAGCAAGGGUGGUCGGUGGUUGCUAAGGUUUUGCUAAACAGUUACUAAUGUGUUCUGGAUCGUUGCUAAAGAAGUUUAUAAGGUGUUCCAAAUAGUUGCUAGGCCAGUGCUAA
Long non-coding RNA from Cyprinus carpio carpio, 819 nucleotides. The record is from Ensembl. NCBI's taxonomy places the organism in Eukaryota, Metazoa, Chordata, Actinopteri, Cypriniformes, Cyprinidae.